UGACAAAAUCUCAGGUCAACUAUACAAUGAAUAUAUUCAUCUUUGCUUACACGCAACAUUUUUUUCCCCCUAAAAAUUAGAUUUACAUUCGAGUAAAAAAUUUAUGAGAAAAAUGUUAAUUUAUAAUAUAACAGAUCGAAGUGAGGAAUAAAAUCCCACAUCAAGUUUUCAAAAUCCAAAACGACUUGCAACUUUUAACAUCGCGAACUCACGAGUCACGAUUCGCCCAUAUGCCCGGCGAACACAACGGUCAAGUAACUACCACGCAAGAAGAUCACUUUAAAAAGAAAUGUCCGGGUCAGACGCCGACUCAACCCAGUCUCAGGACGUUAAUAGUGUGAAUGUGACACCCGAUAUCCCAAUUGAGAUCGUGAGCGAAGAAGAGAUGGCUCUCAUUGAUGCAGCCUUAGCAGCACCUCGCUGCUGUUCCCCAUCAUCAUCAUUAUCAUUUGCUUCUCAAUUACAACGAAACGCGAGGUUCAUUCACUCUAUUAGUNNN
This 499-nucleotide long non-coding RNA is filed under the name Citrus maxima (pomelo). Its description in RNAcentral is "long non-coding RNA (CMAX_LNC004428)". Lineage: Eukaryota; Viridiplantae; Streptophyta; Magnoliopsida; Sapindales; Rutaceae. The record is from RNAcentral.